This is a long non-coding RNA of Oncorhynchus keta (chum salmon), 1503 nucleotides long. RefSeq lists it as uncharacterized. The record is from RefSeq and is a predicted model, not a curated record. The transcript is spliced from 4 exons. Lineage: Eukaryota; Metazoa; Chordata; Actinopteri; Salmoniformes; Salmonidae.
GCCUAGCUCCCCUGUGGGUGGACCUGGCUGCCAAGUGGGUGGGCCUAGCUCCCCUGUGGGUGGACCUGGCUGCCAAGUGGGUGGGCCUAGCUCCCCUGUGGCUGGGCCUAGCUCCCCUGUGGGUGGACCUGGCUGCCAAGUGGGUGGGCCUGGCUGCCAAGUGGGUGGGCCUAGCUCCCCUGUGCCCUCCCAGGCCCACCCCAUGGCUGCACCCCUGCCCAGUCAUGUGAAUUCCAUAAAUUAAUUUACAGUUCAUAUAAUCAGUAAAUGUAACUCAGUAAAAUCAUUACACAAUGAAACUCUCUCUCCCUCAGUGGACCAAUAACUUGGCAUCAUUGAAACAUCGGUGUUCAUUUUGUCAACAAUAACAAUGUAUUAGUCAAACAAUUUUAACGAGAUGCCAUGAAAACAAUGGAAAUUAAAAUGGGGACGUGACACGUCUAAUGGACAUUCAAGUUGGCAUGAAGCUCCUCGUCGUCGGGUUUGUCCAGUCACAAGGAUGCAUGCUUCUGAAGAAUAUUUAAUAUGAUCCUAUCAUUGGCAGAACACACUGCUUGGCAUCAGGUUGAGGUGACACUGCGUGGCAUCAGGUUGAGGUGACACUGCGUGGCAUCAGGUUGAGGUGACACUGCUUGGCAUCAGGUUGAGGUGACACUGCUUGGCAUCAGGUUGAGGUGACACUGCUUGGCAUCAGGUUGAGGUGACACUGCUUGGCAUCAGGUUGAGGUGACACUGCUUGGCAUCAGGUUGAGGUGACACUGCUUGGCAUCAGGUUGAGGUGACACUGCUUGGCAUCAGGUUGAGGUGACACUGCUUGGCAUCAGGUUGAGGUGACACUGCUUGGCAUCAGGUUGAGGUGACACUGCUUGGCAUCAGGUUGAGGUGACACUGCUUGGCAUCAGGUUGAGGUGACACUGCUUGGCAUCAGGUUGAGGUGACACUGCUUGGCAUCAGGUUGAGGUGACACUGCUUGGUAUCAGGUUGAGGUGACACUGCUUGGCAUCAGGUUGAGGUGACGUCCACACUGCUUGGCAUCAGGUUGAGGUGACGUCCACACUGCUUGGCAUCAGGUUGAGGUGACGUCCACACUGCUUGGCAUCAGGUUGAGGUGACGUCCACACUGCUUGGCAUCAGGUUGAGGUGACGUCCACACUGCUUGGCAUCAGGUUGAGGUGACGUCCACACUGCUUGGCAUCAGGUUGAGGUGACGUCCACACUGCUUGGCAUCAGGUUGAGGUGACGUCCACACUGCUUGGCAUCAGGUUGAGGUGUGCGUGUGUGUGUGUAUACACAUGUUUCCUACAUUACCAGAAUGUUCUGACAAGGUUGGAUAACAAAACUCAAGGCUUUUUUUGUUUCCUGAAUAUGUUAAAAUUAUAUUUUAGGCUUUAGGGUUCGGGUUACGUUUAGGGUUCGGGUUACGUUUAGGGUUCGGGUUACGUUUAGGGUUCGGGUUACGUUUAGGGUUCGGGGGAAAAUAGGACUGUGUGUGUGUCCAUAGUA